Molecule: long non-coding RNA, 2168 nt
Organism: Nyctereutes procyonoides (raccoon dog)
Lineage: Eukaryota; Metazoa; Chordata; Mammalia; Carnivora; Canidae
Exons: 3
Source: RefSeq, a predicted model, not a curated record
UUCCGCCACGCCCUUCUCCAUCCCACCCUUCACCGCCGCCACCACGAGAGCGCGGGGCGUGGGUCUGCACUGUUCCCAAGACUGAGGACGAGGCGUGGGCAGGGCCAGGCAAGACGGUUCCUUGGGUCAGAAGAGAGAAAGAAAAGGCAGAGAGCCAGCCUGCAAUUUCAGGACCAGAAAGCAGUAGAGAUGGCCUCCAGCCUCCCAGUCUGUAACACUACCGGGUGCUGCCACUAUCAUGUUCCAUCUGAGACCUCUCCCGGAAGAACAUUUCCAUUCCUGCGGGGGACUUCCAAGAACCCAAAAUGGCCCUGAUUGUUGUUUGUUUUUUCCUUUUUUUUUAAUAUUUUUUUUAAUUUUUAUUUAUUUAUGAUAGUCACACACACAGAGAGAGAGAGAGGCAGAGACGCAGGCAGAGGGAGAAGCAGGCUCCAUGCACCGGGAGCUAGAUGUGGGAUUCGAUCCCGGGUUUCCAGGAUCGCGCCCUGGGCCAAAGGCAGGCGCUAAACUGCUGCGCCACCCAGGGAUCCCUGUUUGUUUUUUCCUAAAUAUAUUGGCCUGACUUACUCUUAAAUUCAACUUGAAUCCCAGAAAGAGCCACUGCUAAUUUUUGGAGUUCAUAUCUCAUUCCUUUAAUGACAUAUCUUAGAACGGAUUGGCAGCCUCUGUUUUUUCCUCCUUUCUGAAAAUGCUACCCUGAGCUUCAGACUUCUGGCAUAUCUUUUUAUUAUUUACGAGAAGGAAUAUGUAUAUUUGGUCUUCAUUUCAUUCCUGGCUCAAAGUUCCUAAAAAACCUUGUAAUUUCUUAAGUAAUAAGAGCACUAGGAGCAUCAUUUGUUCCAAUAUUUGGUCAUUGACUGUGGUUCCUUGGAUACAGAAGCUUCUCUACUUUACACCCUCCCACACCCCACCCUAUGUAUCUCUUCAUCUAGCUGUUCAUCUGUAUCCUUUAAUAAAUUGGUGAAUGUAAAUAAGUGUUUUCCUGAGUUCUGUGAGCUGCUCCAACAAAUAAUCAAAUCCAAAGAGAGGAGAUCCUGGGAUCCGCCAAUUUGUAGUCAAGUCAGACAGAAACUGUGGGUAACUUGGGCACCUGAUCCUUAUGAUUGGUUAUCUGAAGUGUAGUCAGUCUCAUGGGACUGUGGGACCUAACGCACUAGCUACCUCCAGGUAGAUAGUGUCAGAAUUGAGUUAAAUUGUAGGACAACCAGCUGGCAUCACAGAAAAUUGCUUUGUGGGAGGAAAAAAACCCACACAUUUGGUGUUAGAGGGCAUCAGAAGUGAAGAGUUGUAUAGAGUAGAAAAGACAUAUGGAAGGAAAGUCUGGAUUUUUCUAGUACAUAUAUUAGUCUGACUUGCUCAACUCCAAGCUGAAUCCAAGAGGGCCUAUAAGUAAUUUUUGGAGUUCACAUGUUCUCUAGAUGGAUUUGCAGCCCUUACAACCCUUGGUUUUUUCCCCAUUUUUGAAAAUUGAAGCCUAGGCCCCAGUCUUCUAGCAUAAAUUCUAUUCCCAUGAUUUCUCCAGAUCACUAGCACUGACUAAGGUAUAUUUUUAGUACCAGAAAUGUACUGGGAAUGUCAAGAGUCUUGAAAUGAUUUAUUUGGGAAGAUGUCAUCACAGUAUUAGAAACAUUCUUUUUUUUUUUUUUAAUUUGUUUUUUAUUUUUAUUUUAUGAUAGUCACACAGAGAGAGAGAGAGGCUGAGACACAGGCAGAGGGAGAAGCAGGCUCUAUACACUGGGAGCCCGACGUGGGAUUCGAUCCCGGGUCUCCAGGAUCGCGCCCUGAGCCAAAGGCAGGCGCCAAACCGCUGCGCCACCCAGGGAUCCCUAGAAACAUUCUUAAAACAGAAUUUAUAUUGCUAUUACAGUCAAACAUAACAGAUCCACAAAUAAGUUCUUUCCCAACUCAGACAUAUUCGAUCCAGCUGUCUUUCUUUUCUGACUUAAUGGCAACUCCGCUUGAUUUACUCAGGCUCAAACCUUUAGAGCCAUCCUCAUACACUUCUCUUACAUCCUGUACCCACAUGGGAAAGUUUGUUGACCCUACAUUCACGAGGGGGCAAGGUGGCGGAAGAGUAGGGUCCCCAAGUCCCCUGUCCCCACCAAAUUACCUAGAUAACUUUCAAAUCAUCCUGAAAACCUACGAAUUUGGCUUGAGAUUUAAAGAGA